UACGGAGGGGGCAAGCGUUGUUCGGAAUUACUGGGCGUAAAGCGCACGUAGGCGGAAUGUUAAGUCAGGGGUGAAAUCCCGGGGCUCAACCCCGGAACUGCCUUUGAUACUGGCAUUCUCGAGUCCGGAAGAGGUGAGUGGAAUUCCGAGUGUAGAGGUGAAAUUCGUAGAUAUUCGGAGGAACACCAGUGGCGAAGGCGGCUCACUGGUCCGGUACUGACGCUGAGGUGCGAAAGCGUGGGGAGCAAACAGG
Molecule: ribosomal RNA, 253 nt
Filed under: uncultured bacterium
Lineage: Bacteria
Description: partial 16S ribosomal RNA
Rfam family: Bacterial small subunit ribosomal RNA
Source: RNAcentral